This 324-nucleotide unclassified non-coding RNA is filed under the name fungal sp. RNAcentral describes it as "partial internal transcribed spacer region". The stretch from base 1 to 46 matches the Rfam family "Eukaryotic small subunit ribosomal RNA", at positions 1786 to 1831 of the family's 1831-position model. The record is from RNAcentral. Lineage: Eukaryota; Fungi.
AAGUCGUAACAAGGUUUCCGUAGGUGAACCUGCGGAAGGAUCAUUACCGAAAUUUAAAACUCACAACGCGAGUCUCGUGCGGAAGCAAAUAUGACUGCCGAGACUUUGUGACUCUUCAAGUCUUCCUUUGCUCAAGUCAAACCACACUCGUGAAGCACAUGUGACGAGUCUGUGGUGAGCAUCGGGAGCACUGCGUUUCCUUCGGGAUUCACAGUCUAAAAAACGAAUUGUAAAAGUAAUAUAUCAAACGAAUUGUAAAAGUAUAUAUAUAAACAAAAAAAGACGAAAAAAUCAACCUCGAGUGGUGGAUCACUUGGCUCGUGG